This 497-nucleotide ribosomal RNA is filed under the name uncultured bacterium. RNAcentral's name for it is "partial 16S ribosomal RNA". It matches the Rfam family "Bacterial small subunit ribosomal RNA", at positions 28 to 507 of the family's 1533-position model. The record is from RNAcentral.
GAUGAACGCUGGCGGCGUGCCUAAUACAUGCAAGUCGAGCGAACAGACGAGGAGCUUGCUCCUCUGACGUUAGCGGCGGACGGGUGAGUAACACGUGGAUAACCUACCUAUAAGACUGGGAUAACUUCGGGAAACCGGAGCUAAUACCGGAUAAUAUAUUGAACCGCAUGGUUCAAUAGUGAAAGACGGUUUUGCUGUCACUUAUAGAUGGAUCCGCGCCGCAUUAGCUAGUUGGUAAGGUAACGGCUUACCAAGGCAACGAUGCGUAACCGGCCUGAGAGAGUGAUGGGCCACACUGACACUGAGACACGGUCCAGGCUCCGACGUGAGGCAGCAGUAGGGAAUCUUCCGCGAUGGGCGAAAGCGUGACGGAGCAACGCCGCGUGAGUGAUGAAGGUCUUCGGAUCGUAAAACUCUGUUAUUAGGGAAGAACAAAUGUAUAAGUAACUAUGCACGUCUUGACGGUACCUAAUCAGAAAGCCACGGCUAACUACGUG